Molecule: transfer RNA, 73 nt
Filed under: Candidatus Aenigmatarchaeota archaeon
Lineage: Archaea; Nanobdellati; Candidatus Aenigmatarchaeota
Description: tRNA-Gly
Rfam family: tRNA
About the family: Transfer RNA (tRNA) molecules are approximately 80 nucleotides in length. Their secondary structure includes four short double-helical elements and three loops (D, anti-codon, and T loops).
Source: RNAcentral
GCGCCAAUAGUCUAGCCUGGUAGGAUACGAGCUUCCCAAGCUUGUGGCUCGGGUUCAAAUCCCGAUUGGCGCA